Molecule: ribosomal RNA, 447 nt
Filed under: uncultured bacterium
Lineage: Bacteria
Description: partial 16S ribosomal RNA
Rfam family: Bacterial small subunit ribosomal RNA
Source: RNAcentral
AGCGAACGCUGGCGGCAGGCCUAAUACAUGCAAGUCGAACGGCUCUUCGGAGCAGUGGCGGACGGGUGAGUAACGCGUGGGAAUGUGCCCUUAGGUACGGAACAACACAGGGAAACUUGUGCUAAUACCGUAUGUGCCCUUCGGGGGAAAGAUUUAUCGCCUUUGGAGCAGCCCGCGUUGGAUUAGGUAGUUGGUGAGGUGAAGGCUCACCAAGCCGACGAUCCAUAGCUGGUCUGAGAGGAUGACCAGCCACACUGGGACUGAGACACGGCCCAGACUCCUACGGGAGGCAGCAGUAGGGAAUCUUGCGCAAUGGGCGAAAGCCUGACGCAGCCAUGCCGCGUGUAUGAUGAAGGUCUUAGGAUUGUAAAAUACUUUCACCGGGGAAGAUAAUGACGGUACCCGGAGAAGAAGCCCCGGCUAACUUCGUGCCAGCCGCCGCGGUAA